Molecule: signal recognition particle RNA, 97 nt
Filed under: Bacilli bacterium
Lineage: Bacteria; Bacillati; Bacillota; Bacilli
Also listed under: 1 other name
Description: signal recognition particle sRNA small type
Rfam family: Bacterial small signal recognition particle RNA
About the family: The signal recognition particle (SRP) is a universally conserved ribonucleoprotein involved in the co-translational targeting of proteins to membranes.
Source: RNAcentral
UAUUUAUGCCAUCGCGAUGUAUCUCGAUGAACCAGGUCAGGGCGGAAACGCAGCAGCCUUAAGUUGCUGAUGCAUGUGCGGUGGUUUAUUUAUAUGA